Molecule: long non-coding RNA, 269 nt
Filed under: Mytilus galloprovincialis (Mediterranean mussel)
Lineage: Eukaryota; Metazoa; Mollusca; Bivalvia; Mytilida; Mytilidae
Source: RNAcentral
AAAAAAAAAAAAUAUUAAAUAAAAUUAAAGACAAAAAAUUAUAAAAAUUUAACAGACUUAGUAAAACAAUUUUUUAUUCUACAUUUUCCAAAAAAGGUGAAAUGUCAAUUUUAAAAGAAACCCAAAUUACCUGUACAGGUAAAUUUUAAUAAAACAUACCAGCUGAAAACUUCAGGUUGAUUUUAACAGGUAACAUAAUUAGAUAAAAAAUCAACCUAUGAUUUAUGACCCCCAAUAAAUGGCCAACAUCUCAAAAUUGAAUACCCCAA